GGACGAACGCUGGCGGCGUGCUUAACACAUGCAAGUCGAACGGUGAAGCGCCUUCCUUUUUGGUGGGUGUGGAUGAGUGGCGAACGGGUGAGUAACACGUGAGUAACCUGCCCCCUUCUUCUGGAUAACCGCAUGAAAGUGUGGCUAAUACGGGAUAUUCUGGGUCUGUCGCAUGAUGGGUCUGGGAAAGAUAUUGUUUCGGUGGGGGAUGGGCUCGCGGCCUAUCAGCUUGUUGGUGGGGUGAUGGCCUACCAAGGCGGUGACGGGUAGCCGGCCGGAGAGGGUGGACGGUCACACUGGGACGGAGACACGGCCCAGACUCCUACGGGAGGCAGCAGUGGGGAAUAUUGCACAAUGGGCGCAAGCCUGAUGCAGCGACGCCGCGUGAGGGAUGGAGGCCUUCGGGUUGUGAACCUCUUUCGCCAGUGAAGCAGGCCUGCCUCGUUUGUGGGUGGGUUGACGGUAGCUGGAUAAGAAGCGCCGGCUAACUACGUG
This 495-nucleotide ribosomal RNA is filed under the name uncultured bacterium. RNAcentral's name for it is "partial 16S ribosomal RNA". It matches the Rfam family "Bacterial small subunit ribosomal RNA", at positions 27 to 507 of the family's 1533-position model. The record is from RNAcentral.